AUACUGGGUGUAAGCGCAUGCAUGCGGUUUAUUAAGCGAGAUGUGAAAGCCCCGGGCUCAACCUGGGAACUGCAUUUCCAACUGGCAAACUAGAGUUCUUGAGAGGGUGGUAAAAUUUCAGGUGUACCGGUGAAAUGCGUAGAGAUCUGAAGGAAUACCAGUGGCAAAGGCGGCCUCCUGGCAAGUAACUGACGCUCAGAUGCGAAAGCGUGGGUAGCAAACGGGAUUAGAUACCCCGGUAGUCCACGCCGUAAACGAUGUCUACUCGGAGUUUGGUUCCUUGAGAACUGGGCUCUUAAGCUAACGCAUUAAGUAGACCGCCUGGGGAGUACGGCCGCAAGGUUAAAACUCAAAUGAAUUGACGGGGGCCCGCACAAGCGGUGGAGCAUGUGGUUUAAUUCGAUGCAACGCGAAGAACCUUACCUACUCUUGACAUCCAUAGAACUUUUCAGAGAUGAAUUGGUGCCUUCGGGAACUAUGAGACAGGUGCUGCAUGGCUGUCGUCAGCUCGUGUUGUGAAAUGUUGGGUUAAGUCCCGCAACGAGCGCAACCCUUAUCCUUAUUUGCCAGCACGUAAUGGUGGGAACUCUAAGGAGACUGCCGGUGAUAAACCGGAGGAAGGUGGGGACGACGUCAAGUCAUCAUGGCCCUUACGAGUAGGGCUACACACGUGCUACAAUGGCGCAUACAAAGGGCUGCAAACCAGCGAUGGUAAGCGAAUCCCAUAAAGUGCGUCGUAGUCCGGAUUGGGGUCUGCAACUCGACCCCAUGAAGUCGGAAUCGCUAGUAAUCGUGAAUCAGAAUGUCACGGUGAAUACGUUCCCGGGCCUUGUACACACCGCCCGUCACACCAUGGGAGUGGGCUGCACCAGAAGUCAUUAGCUUAACCUUCGGGAGGGCGAUGACCACGGUGUGGUCAUGACUGGGUGAAG
RNAcentral lists this ribosomal RNA (932 nucleotides) under Moritella sp. AA501005. Its description in RNAcentral is "bacterial SSU rRNA". It matches the Rfam family "Bacterial small subunit ribosomal RNA", at positions 551 to 1485 of the family's 1533-position model. The record is from RNAcentral. Lineage: Bacteria; Pseudomonadati; Pseudomonadota; Gammaproteobacteria; Alteromonadales; Moritellaceae.